This 253-nucleotide ribosomal RNA is filed under the name uncultured bacterium. RNAcentral describes it as "partial 16S ribosomal RNA". It matches the Rfam family "Bacterial small subunit ribosomal RNA", at positions 524 to 776 of the family's 1533-position model. The record is from RNAcentral.
UACGGGGGGGGCAAGCGUUGUUCGGAAUUACUGGGCGUAAAGCGUGCGCAGGCGGUGAUGUAAGACAGUUGUGAAAUCCCCGGGCUCAACCUGGGAACUGCAUCUGUGACUGCAUCGCUGGAGUGCGGCAGAGGGGGAUGGAAUUCCGCGUGUAGCAGUGAAAUGCGUAGAUAUGCGGAGGAACACCGAUGGCGAAGGCAAUCCCCUGGACCUGUACUGACGCUCAUGCACGAAAGCGUGGGGAGCAAACAGG